This 1014-nucleotide long non-coding RNA is filed under the name Calidris pugnax (ruff). RNAcentral describes it as "lncRNA (ENSCPUG00000013452.1)". The record is from RNAcentral. Lineage: Eukaryota; Metazoa; Chordata; Aves; Charadriiformes; Scolopacidae.
CCAAAUGAUACACACAGAGAUCUCGACUAUGACAUUCCAUUUGUAUUAGCUUUUUCAGCAGGGGUGUGGAAGAAAUUUAGAUUAAUGAGAGUUUGUACAGGGCCUUGAGGUGAAAAAUGAAAAAUAUUCCCCUUCAGUAGGGUGUAGGUCUCCCGUGUCUCAUUUAAUGCAUUCAUUACAUGAGAAAAAAAAAAAAAAAAAAAAAGCUGAUUAUGACUGGAGCAAAAUUUUAACAGAAAAAACUGAGAAUAGGUGUUAAAUAAAGAGGAUUGAAAUCUGCAGUUCCCCUUGUGGUAACUCUGCAAAACCAAAAGACUAAAUUGAAAAUCAAGAGUGUGAAGUUAAUUGGUUACCCCAUGCAGGCUCCCAUCCCACCCGUAGAAGUGCAGCAUCCACCCUGUGCUUUUGAUCAAGAAGUUACUGACCGAAGUCACCUGUGUCACCUCUUAAGUUGACCCUGUUGCUCCAUUGUUCGCUUGUUCCAAAGGGAUCUUGUUAUGUGCUAUCUCAGAGUCCUGCUUCUGUCCCCUUUCACAGUCUCUGUAGCUCCCUGAUGAUUCGAGCUCUAAUAACCUUUUUUAUUUCUGGUAGUCAGUUCAACUCAUCAUCCACAAAACCCAUUCCGUAAAUAUAAGCGUGAGCCUAGAUUCAUGAGAGUUAAAAGCAAUAAAAUUCGUGUUUAAGCAACCCAUCACCUCUGAUAAAGGACUGUGCAGACAAACUCUUUGAACGGGCUCGCUGUGGAGUCACAGAAGUGCCAGUACAGGUGGCUGCACUGAGCUGCAUCGCCAGUGAGGCAUUCCAAGGAGAGAGGAAUGGAAAAUAAUGGCAGCGUGCCUUUGAGAGAAAUGAAAAGGCACAAUCUAUAUAGACCAAGAAUUGUGAUGGGGCCCAGCAUGUCACACAUGGGUCAUCUGUGUCUGUGUAACCUCCCCUGAGUCCAGCCCAUCGAGCCGGGAACAAGCAGCUCCUCAUAUUGUGAGCAUCGGCUUCGCUGUGUACCUACUUGUUUUG